CGGCGAGUGAAGCGGCAAUAGCUCAAAUUUGAAAGCUGGCGUACGUCCGCGUUGUAAUUUGUAGAGGAUGCUUCGGCGAGGACUCCUGCCUAAGUCCCCUGGAACGGGGCGUCACAGAGGGUGAGAAUCCCGUAUGUGGCGGGCGGUCCGAGCCAUGUGAAGCUCCUUCGACGAGUCGAGUUGUUUGGGAAUGCAGCUCUAAAUGGGAGGUAAAUUUCUUCUAAAGCUAAAUAUUGGCCAGAGACCGAUAGCGCACAAGUAGAGUGAUCGAAAGAUGAAAAGCACUUUGGAAAGAGAGUUAAAAAGUACGUGAAAUUGUUGAAAGGGAAGCGCUUGCAACCAGACUCGCUCGCAGUUGCUCAGCCGGCCUCUUGGCCGGUGUACUCUUCUGUGAUCGGGCCAGCAUCAGUUCGGGCGGCCGGAUAAAGGUGUCGGGAAUGUAGCACCCUUCGGGGUGUGUUAUAGCCCGGCGCGGAAUGCGGCCAGCCUGGACUGAGGAUCUCGCUUCGGCAAGGAUGCUGGCGUAAUGGUUGUAAGCGGCCCGUCU
RNAcentral lists this ribosomal RNA (547 nucleotides) under Phyllosticta cryptomeriae. Its description in RNAcentral is "partial 28S ribosomal RNA". It matches the Rfam family "Eukaryotic large subunit ribosomal RNA", at positions 87 to 654 of the family's 3401-position model. Lineage: Eukaryota; Fungi; Ascomycota; Dothideomycetes; Botryosphaeriales; Phyllostictaceae. The record is from RNAcentral.